GAUGAACGCUGGCGGCGUGCUUAACACAUGCAAGUCGAACGGAAAGGCUCCUGCUUGCAGGGGUACUCGAGUGGCGAACGGGUGAGUAACACGUGGGUGAUCUGCCCUGCACUUCGGGAUAAGCCUGGGAAACUGGGUCUAAUACCGGAUAGGACGAUGGUUUGGAUGCCAUUGUGGAAAGUUUUUCGGUGUGGGAUGAGCUCGCGGCCUAUCAGCUUGUUGGUGGGGUAAUGGCCUACCAAGGCGUCGACGGGUAGCCGGCCUGAGAGGGUGUACGGCCACAUUGGGACUGAGAUACGGCCCAGACUCCUACGGGAGGCAGCAGUGGGGAAUAUUGCACAAUGGGCGCAAGCCUGAUGCAGCGACGCCGCGUGGGGGAUGACGGCCUUCGGGUUGUAACCUCCUUUCGCUAGGGACGAAGCGCAAGUGACGGUACCUGGAGAAGAAGCACCGGCUAACUACGUG
Molecule: ribosomal RNA, 465 nt
Filed under: uncultured bacterium
Lineage: Bacteria
Description: partial 16S ribosomal RNA
Rfam family: Bacterial small subunit ribosomal RNA
Source: RNAcentral